CCCUUAGAUGUUCUGGGCCGCACGCGCGCUACACUGAUGCAUUCAACGAGUCUAAAACCUGCUCUGAUAGGGGUGGGUAAUCUUUUGAAUGUGCAUCGUGAUUGGGAUAGAUGAUUGCAAUUUUUCAUCUUCAACGAGGAAUGCCUAGUAAACGCAAGUCAUCAGCUUGCAUUGAUUACGUCCCUGCCCUUUGUACACACCGCCCGUCGCUCCUACCGAUUGAAUGAUCCGAUGAAUAUCAUGGAUUGAUGAUGCAAGCAGGUUCGCCUGUCUUCAUCUUCGAGAAGUGAAGUAAAUCUUAUCAUUUAGAGGAAGGAGAAGUCGUAACA
This 329-nucleotide ribosomal RNA is filed under the name uncultured eukaryote. RNAcentral describes it as "partial 18S ribosomal RNA". It matches the Rfam family "Eukaryotic small subunit ribosomal RNA", at positions 1470 to 1796 of the family's 1831-position model. The record is from RNAcentral.